This 433-nucleotide ribosomal RNA is filed under the name uncultured bacterium. Its description in RNAcentral is "partial 16S ribosomal RNA". It matches the Rfam family "Bacterial small subunit ribosomal RNA", at positions 29 to 507 of the family's 1533-position model. The record is from RNAcentral.
AACGAACGCUGGCGGCAUGCCUAACACAUGCAAGUCGAACGAGACCUUCGGGUCUAGUGGCGCACGGGUGCGUAACGCGUGGGAACCUGCCCUUAGGUUCGGAAUAACUCCCCGAAAGGGGUGAUAAUACCGGAUAAUGUCUUCGGACCAAAGAUUUAUCGCCUUUGGAUGGGCCCGCGUUGGAUUAGCUAGUUGGUAGGGUAAAAGCCUACCAAGGCGACGAUCCAUAGCUGGUCUGAGAGGAUGCUCAGCCACACUGGGACUGAGACACGGCCCAGACUCCUACGGGAGGCAGCAGUGGGGAAUAUUGGACAAUGGGCGAAAGCCUGAUCCAGCAAUGCCGCGUGAGUGAUGAAGGCCUUAGGGUUGUAAAGCUCUUUUACCCGGGAUGAUAAUGACAGUACCGGGAGAAUAAGCUCCGGCUAACUCCGUG